Molecule: ribosomal RNA, 475 nt
Filed under: Pseudomonadota bacterium
Lineage: Bacteria; Pseudomonadati; Pseudomonadota
Description: bacterial SSU rRNA
Rfam family: Bacterial small subunit ribosomal RNA
Source: RNAcentral
UAAGUCGGAUUAGCUAGUUGGUGGGGUAAAGGCCUACCAAGGCGACGAUCUGUAGCGGGUCUGAGAGGAUGAUCCGCCACACUGGGACUGAGACACGGCCCAGACUCCUACGGGAGGCAGCAGUGGGGAAUAUUGGACAAUGGGGGGAACCCUGAUCCAGCCAUGCCGCGUGUGUGAAGAAGGCCUUUUGGUUGUAAAGCACUUUAAGCGAGGAGGAGGCUACCGAGAUUAAUACUCUUGGAUAGUGGACGUUACUCGCAGAAUAAGCACCGGCUAACUCUGUGCCAGCAGCCGCGGUAAUACAGAGGGUGCAAGCGUUAAUCGGAUUUACUGGGCGUAAAGCGCGCGUAGGUGGCCAAUUAAGUCAAAUGUGAAAUCCCCGAGCUUAACUUGGGAAUUGCAUUCGAUACUGGUUGGCUAGAGUAUGGGAGAGGAUGGUAGAAUUCCAGGUGUAGCGGUGAAAUGCGUAGAGAUC